UCACUGCAGGACCAGGGAGGAGGAACAGAAAAACGGGGCAGGAGGCAGGCUCCAUGACCUCUCCUUCAGCUGGCCCAGACCUCCUUCCCAGGUGUGCUGCAUGUCACCAUGCAGGAAGGUAGGACAAGAACAAAUUGUUCAAGAAGACCGGCCCAGAAAACUAAGUGCAGGUGACAGGAGCCGGCCAACUCCAAGAGACACAGAGCGGAUCUGCUCCAAGGCAGCAGCCGUGUGGCGCCCGGAGAUGGGCUAUAGUGGACUCCUUUCUGCACACUUCUUGUUCAGGCUGCUGAAGUUUCCCACCGUCUGGCUGCUGCAAAGCAGGCCUUCCAAAAAGCCCCACCCUUGGAGCCUCGAAGCCUUGGGCCCUGGAUACAGAAGUGGAGUCCAGAGCAAAGGAGGCUUCCUUUGCUAAGAAACUCCCUCUCCAAAAAGGUAUCCCAGGCUAGCCUCAUAAAUUUCUGGUCCUUCUGGGUCCACCUUCCAAGUGCUGAGAAUACAAGGAUGUGCCACCAGCCUAGUCUUAUGUGGUGCUGGGGAACAAACCGGUGCCACCAGCCUAGUCUUAUGUGGUGCUGGGGAACAAACCGGAGCCUUUGUAUAUGCUAGGCAGUAUGUGCAUGCCUGGUGCCUAUGGAAACCAGAAGAGGGCAUCCGAUCCACUGGGACUGGAGCUCCAGGUGGUGGUGAGUCACUGCGUGCGUGCUCAGAACAGACUCAAGGUCCUCUGCACAGCAGCAAACGCUCUCAACCACUGAGCCAUCUCUCCGGCUUCUCAUAAAACAGUCUUCAAAUAAUUUUCAGACAGGGUCUCUGUGUUGCCCAAAUUUGCAAAUCCCCUGCCUCAGCCUCCCCAGCAGCUGG
This is a long non-coding RNA of Myodes glareolus (Bank vole), 864 nucleotides long. RefSeq lists it as uncharacterized. Lineage: Eukaryota; Metazoa; Chordata; Mammalia; Rodentia; Cricetidae. The record is from RefSeq and is a predicted model, not a curated record.